RNAcentral lists this long non-coding RNA (199 nucleotides) under Theobroma cacao (cacao). RNAcentral describes it as "long non-coding RNA (TCAC_LNC005223)". The record is from RNAcentral. Lineage: Eukaryota; Viridiplantae; Streptophyta; Magnoliopsida; Malvales; Malvaceae.
GCAUCCUAUGUCCUUGGGAUUGAAAUCCAUAAAGAUGGAUCUUAUCACUUGUUUGGACUCUCUUAACGCGCAUACUUUAAUUGUAUGUUGAAUAUAUUUUACAUGAUUGAUUACAAAAGUGAAUAUAUGCCAAUUGUUAAAGUUGAUAAAUUGAAAUUGGCAUAACAUUCUAAAAUGAUGUUGAGAGGGAAUAUAUGGG